CCUACGGGAGGCAGCAGUGAGGAAUAUUGGUCAAUGGGCGGAAGCCUGUACCAGCCAAGUAGCGUGCAGGAUGACGGCCCUACGGGUUGUAAACUGCUUUUAUACGGGAAUAACGCGCCUUACGUGUAGGGCUUUGCAUGUACCGUAUGAAUAAGGACCGGCUAAUUCCGUGCCAGCAGCCGCGGUAAUACGGAAGGUCCGGGCGUUAUCCGGAUUUAUUGGGUUUAAAGGGAGCGUAGGCCGCAUGUCAAGCGUGCUGUGAAAUGUCCGGGCUCAACCCGGGCCUUGCAGCGCGAACUGGCGUGCUUGAGUCCGCGGAAAGCAGGCGGAAUUCGUCGUGUAGCGGUGAAAUGCUUAGAUAUGACGAAGAACCCCGAUUGCGAAGGCAGCUUGCUGCAGCGGAACUGACGCUGAUGCUCGAAAGCGCGGGUAUCGAACAGGAUUAGAUACCCCGGUAGUC
Molecule: ribosomal RNA, 460 nt
Filed under: uncultured bacterium
Lineage: Bacteria
Description: partial 16S ribosomal RNA
Rfam family: Bacterial small subunit ribosomal RNA
Source: RNAcentral